GGGCACAGCCAUAUCACCCUGCAGCACAAGACCGGUUACUCUGAAGCUAAGCAGGGCUGAGCCUGGUCAGUACCUGGAUGGGAGACCACAUACAGUAGGAAAAACUAGGUUGAGUCCU
Molecule: ribosomal RNA, 118 nt
Filed under: Danio rerio (zebrafish)
Lineage: Eukaryota; Metazoa; Chordata; Actinopteri; Cypriniformes; Danionidae
Source: RNAcentral